GAGACAUCUAAUUGUAAGUCGCUUUUGGAUAAAAGCGCCAGCUAAAUGCAUGUAACAUGCUUGAAAGUUUCAACCUCAAGAGAGCAGUGCAGCAGAAACUUGCCAUAUAGGAUUUAGUGUCAACUAGAAAUAAGACCGUCACAAUGGCAAUGACCACCACGAGCGGAGUGCGAAGCAUCCCAGAUAGCAGUUGAUCCUAUCCGCCCUCCUGUCGCGCUCGGUUUGGUCAUGCCACCGGAUCCGCGCACCAUCAGACAGCGUUGUAACUGCGGUGGAUGCUCCAAGUUGUUGCCCUUCGACUUUUCAAACUGGUAUUUUCAAAACUGCAGCUCUUUGCGCCAGAAGUACGAGUUAGUUGUACAGAAGUGACAACACUGUUGAUCGCCAUCUCUACAAUUCAGAUAAAAUGAACAGAAAGAAUGGGCCUGUCUCCAGCUCCACCAUUAGACGGAGGGUCCGUCAAGAUGUUUUGACUACAUCACUGUGAUUGAUGGGAAACUGAAUACAACUUUGACUGUUCAGUAAAGUUUCUUCUCUUCAAUGUGUAUAACACGCCUAUUAUUGCCGUUUAAUCUCUUUUUUUUACGGUAUACCUCGUGUUGUCAAACACACAUUUUCAUACUCCUGGUUAUUAAGAACUUUAAUAGUUGCAAAAUAUUAUUUUUUUCAAAGUUCUUGGAACAGAAGGUUAUAUUUCUGUGACAAGUGACACUGUUUGUUUCUUUCCUCUGUAAUUCAGGAUGUUCCACUUCAUAGAAUUCUUGACUAACAAAAUGGUAGCAGUAGUGCCAUAAAGCUAUACCAGCUUUGUGGCACUACUGCUACCGUUUUGGCCGAAUUAUCCGAGGGACGAAAGGGUGGACAAGGCUGUCAGAAGCGCCGAACAACCUGGACCAGACUGGCAGACACAUGACGUCAGAGUAAUUGGAUCAUGCGGUAUUAUAUUAAUAUUGUAUUAAUUGGCCGUUUUAAACGGAUAUAAAAAAUCACUUUGUUAUAUAUGUUGGGGGAAACAACAUUUUAAUCACAUUGUUCUGUUUAUAAUUCUGUACUUUUUCAUUGUGUUUAUGUGACUUAAUUUUUAGAUAAUUACUUGGUGGAAAUAUGUCUUGAGACACAUCAGAUCUCCAGUCAGAAGAGGAGGCAAUUCCUAAAAAGAGGAAGCCAAUGCCGGUCAGGACAGCGAACACGCCAGGGGGACACGCCCACCUGGCGAGGGGCGUGGUGUGGUUCAGACACCAUAGCCUGCUGUGCUGUUCCAGUUCAAAUCCUAGGCAUGCUGGAGACAAUUACAGAGGUGAGAGACCCGGUUCCGUUUCCGUGUACCACAAUGGAGGAAGUGGACCUUUUUGAGCAACGGCUCAAAGAUCCCGUCAACAUUCUAAUGAGUGGUGAGUUUUUUUGUUUUAAGAAUCUCACGCAAAGCUGAUUAAAAUCUAUUGUAUGUAAUUAACACUAGACAAUACCAUGUUUGAUGGAAAUGUUUUUUCAAACAUUCUGUAAAGUAUCAAAUAUUAAUCGUACUUUUUCGAUUUCCUCCCUGUCUUGAGUAGUGUUCAAACUUACGAAUAACCAUCUUUCCCAGAUCUUUUUUUAACAGUGCUAAAUAAAAUGUUUGAAUUGCAACUUUAUUCUCUACUUGGGUAAAUGUUACUCGACUAUAUCUUUACAUAAUAGUUAUAUGAUAUAUUGACUCUAAAUAUAGCAUAGCACACCUUAAGUGCCAGACAGCUACUAGAUUUUAGACUGCAUUUCUGCUCUAUGUUGCACUGAGGAUUCAUGAGAUUUUGUAUCUGCUUGUGUG
Long non-coding RNA from Pseudoliparis swirei, 1804 nucleotides. RefSeq lists it as uncharacterized. The transcript has 5 exons. NCBI's taxonomy places the organism in Eukaryota, Metazoa, Chordata, Actinopteri, Perciformes, Liparidae. The record is from RefSeq and is a predicted model, not a curated record.